This 244-nucleotide ribosomal RNA is filed under the name uncultured bacterium. RNAcentral describes it as "partial 16S ribosomal RNA". It matches the Rfam family "Bacterial small subunit ribosomal RNA", at positions 528 to 772 of the family's 1533-position model. The record is from RNAcentral.
GAGGAUGCGAGCGUUAUCCGGAUUUAUUGGGUUUAAAGGGUGCGCAGGCGGCACUGCAAGUCAGCGGUCAAAAUGCGGGGCUCAACCCCGUCGAGCCGUUGAAACUGCGGUCCUUGAGUGCGCGAGAAGUAUGCGGAAUGCGUGGUGUAGCGGUGAAAUGCAUAGAUAUCACGCAGAACUCCGAUUGCGAAGGCAGCAUACCGGCGCGCAACUGACGCUCAUGCACGAAAGCGUGGGUAGCGAA